GGGUUUACCCAUUGGUCAGGUUUAAUUAUCUGUACUGGUGAGAUAAAUCUCUACCUUCUGAGGAACUUUCAUGCCAUUUAUUUGGUGUGGGAGGAAAUCAGGACUGUUACUUUGAAAAAAUUAGAGUGUUUAAAGCAGGCUAACGUCUGAAUACAUUAGCAUGGAAUAAUGAAAUAGGACGGACUGAUUCUAUUUCGUUGGUUUCUAGGAUCACCGUA
RNAcentral lists this ribosomal RNA (218 nucleotides) under Diversispora celata. Its description in RNAcentral is "partial small subunit ribosomal RNA". It matches the Rfam family "Eukaryotic small subunit ribosomal RNA", at positions 666 to 864 of the family's 1831-position model. The record is from RNAcentral. Lineage: Eukaryota; Fungi; Glomeromycota; Glomeromycetes; Diversisporales; Diversisporaceae.